GACGAACGCUGGCGGCGUGCUUAACACAUGCAAGUCGAACGGAAAGGCCCUGCUUUUGUGGGGUGCUCGAGUGGCGAACGGGUGAGUAACACGUGAGUAACCUGCCCUUGACUUUGGGAUAACUUCAGGAAACUGGGGCUAAUACCGGAUAGGAGCUCCUGCUGCAUGGUGGGGGUUGGAAAGUUUCGGCGGCUGGGGAUGGACUCGCGGCUUAUCAGCUUGUUGGUGGGGUAGUGGCUUACCAAGGCUUUGACGGGUAGCCGGCCUGAGAGGGUGACCGGCCACAUUGGGACUGAGAUACGGCCCAGACUCCUACGGGAGGCAGCAGUGGGGAAUAUUGCACAAUGGGCGGAAGCCUGAUGCAGCAACGCCGCGUGCGGGAUGACGGCCUUCGGAUUGUAAACCGCUUUCGCCUGUGACGAAGCGUGAGUGACGGUAAUGGGUAAAGAAGCACCGGCUAACUACGUGCCAGCAGCCGCGGUGAUACGUAGGGUGCGAGCGUUGUCCGGAUUUAUUGGGCGUAAAGGGCUCGUAGGUGGUUGAUCGCGUCGGAAGUGUAAUCUUGGGGCUUAACCCUGAGCGUGCUUUCGAUACGGGUUGACUUGAGGAAGGUAGGGGAGAAUGGAAUUCCUGGUGGAGCGGUGGAAUGCGCAGAUAUCAGGAGGAACACCAGUGGCGAAGGCGGUUCUCUGGGCCUUUCCUGACGCUGAGGAGCGAAAGCGUGGGGAGCGAACAGGCUUAGAUACACUGGUAGUCCACGCUGUAAACGGUGGGUACUAGGUGUGGGGUCCAUUCCACGGGUUCCGUGCCGUAGCUAACGCUUUAAGUACCCCGCCUGGGGAGUACGGCCGCAAGGCUAAAACUCAAAGGAAUUGACGGGGCCCCGCACAAGCGGCGGAGCAUGCGGAUUAAUUCGAUGCAACGCGUAGAACCUUACCUGGGUUUGACAUGGAUCGGGAGUGCUCAGAGAUGGGUGUGCCUCUUUUGGGGUCGGUUCACAGGUGGUGCAUGGCUGUCGUCAGCUCGUGUCGUGAGAUGUUGGGUUAAGUCCCGCAACGAGCGCAACCCUUGUUCACUGUUGCCAGCACGUUAUGGUGGGGACUCAGUGGAGACCGCCGGGGUCAACUCGGAGGAAGGUGGGGAUGACGUCAAGUCAUCAUGCCCCUUAUGUCCAGGGCUUCACGCAUGCCACAAUGGCUGGUACAGAGAGUGGCGAGCCUGUGAGGGUGAGCGAAUCUCGGAAAGCCGGUCUCAGUUCGGAUUGGGGUCUGCAACUCGACCUCAUGAAGUCGGAGUCGCUAGUAAUCGCAGAUCAGCAACGCUGCGGUGAAAAAGUUCCCGGGGCU
Molecule: ribosomal RNA, 1346 nt
Filed under: uncultured bacterium
Lineage: Bacteria
Description: partial 16S ribosomal RNA
Rfam family: Bacterial small subunit ribosomal RNA
Source: RNAcentral